CACUUGAGGAUGUACCACCCAUUUAACAGGAAACAUGCUUGGUACAUCUUUGAGUGAG
Molecule: microRNA precursor, 58 nt
Filed under: Mus musculus (house mouse)
Lineage: Eukaryota; Metazoa; Chordata; Mammalia; Rodentia; Muridae
Description: Mmu-Mir-506-P2b_pre stem-loop
Source: RNAcentral